AUGCUCACUUCAGUAGCACAUAUACUAAAGUUAGAACGAUUCAGAGAAGAUUAGCAUGGCCUCUGAACAAGGAUGACAUGCAAAUUCGUGAAGCAUUCCAUAUUUUA
Piliocolobus tephrosceles (Ugandan red Colobus) is the source of this 107-nucleotide small nuclear RNA. The record is from Ensembl. Lineage: Eukaryota; Metazoa; Chordata; Mammalia; Primates; Cercopithecidae.